Molecule: ribosomal RNA, 497 nt
Filed under: uncultured bacterium
Lineage: Bacteria
Description: partial 16S ribosomal RNA
Rfam family: Bacterial small subunit ribosomal RNA (bases 20-341)
Source: RNAcentral
GAUGAACGCUGGCGGCGUGCCUAAUACAUGCAAGUCGAGCGAACAGACGAGGAGCUUGCUCCUCUGACGUUAGCGGCGGACGGGUGAGUAACACGUGGAUAACCUACCUAUAAGACUGGGAUAACUUCGGGAAACCGGAGCUAAUACCGGAUAAUAUAUUGAACCGCAUGGUUCAAUAGUGAAAGACGGUUUUGCUGUCACUUAUAGAUGGAUCCGCGCCGCAUUAGCUAGUUGGUAAGGUAACGGCUUACCAAGGCAACGAUGCGUAGCCGACCUGAGAGGGGGAGAGGGAAAAGUGGAAAGGAGACAAGGGAGAGAGGCAGACGGGAGGAAGAAGGAGGGAUGUGUAAGAAAGGGGCGAAAGAUGUACGGAGAAAAGAAGAGGGAGGAAUGAAGGUAUUAGGAGCGGAAAACGUGGGGAGGAGGGAAGAAAAAAUGUGUAAGUAAAAAUGCACGUCAGGAAGGUAAAUAAUAAGAAAGAGACGGAGAAACACGGG